UUGUAAGAUGCGAAAGAUUGGAUGCGAUUGUGCCAAAUAUAAAUUCGAUAAACUAGAAUGUAAAUCAGAAUGUACAUGCAACCAGCAAGAGUAUUUGUUAAAUUAUAGGUGUGUGUAUUUUGAGUGAGAUAUAUUAAGAGAGCUAGUUCUGGUUCAACGACAAUUCAUGCAUCGAUUCAUUAAAUCUCGUAGGAGUCUCUACCUUUAAAGACGAUGCUCAUAAUUAAAGAAACGUGUGAUAGUUCGUGAUGUUGGAUUGAAAUGAUAAAAUUAAUUAAAAAAAAAAAUCAACAUCCAAAAUGGCUACUUUUGGCUUUUAUCAAGAAAAUCCGAAUAAGAUGAAGUUUCAUCAAUGUUCAUAAAAUUUGUUCUCAAAAAAAUAAAAAUAAAAUAGCUAUGAUUAUUAAUUUCACACUUAAAAAGGUGGAGGAUCUUGAUGGAAUUUUCCUUCUUGUAAUUAGAGUUUGGGCAUAUUACCCCGUGAGCACGGUCCAACUUGAAAAAAUUGAUUGAUUUGGGUCAAAUUCAAAAUGAGGCAGGUCAAUUUUCAAGUUGUGAAAAACCUCGGUGUAGGCUUGAGAAUUAAAGAAAAAUGAUUUCAAAGGGUAAAAUACGUAAAAUUAAGUAAGUCAUUUAAUUUCACUUUUCAUUCAGUCUAUCAACUGAUUUCAUCUAGAUUGUAAUUAUAACCUUAGCGAAGCUGCAUUGCAUUAUUCUCUUUAUAAAUGCUUCAAAAUGAAAUUGUACUCAACUGACACGAAAAGUCGGUUUAGUGAUUGUAAUCUCGUUACAAGGUUUUUUUUUUUUUUUUUUUUUUUUAAAUCAAGGUGUCUACCUUCGAAGACUAUUCCUUUAGUAUGUGAUCCGGCCUCUCUUCACACAGACCAAUUAAAUCACGGAAUGUGCCUCCUACUGAUCAGGGUCCGAGCGCCUCUCCAAUUAAACUGUCAAAGUGCCUAAUGAGCCAACCCACGUUACGUCUUACCUUCCAAGACAUUCCUGUUUUCCAUGAUAAAUCCUGUAUUCGAGUACCUCAAUUUCACCCCUCAGUACCAUUCUUUUGGCGGGCUUUCGUGGUGGUUAUUAUUUCUCUCUCCUCCUCCACCGCCUUCCUCCUCUUUCUUUUCCUCUUCCUCUUCUUUUUCCUGUUUCUUUUCUCUACAUUCUUCAACCCCAUCCCCUGCACAACACUCCCGCCACCCCGAAACGCCGUAUAUGGCACCAUUACAAAAUCCAAUGUCGUAAUUUCUUGAAUCUUGGCGCCCCAAAUAACCAUUCCCUUGUUUUCUUUAUUACCCUGUUUUUCAUGGUUAUAUUUGGAUUUUUGUUUCUCUCUCGAUCCAUUUGCGAGAGCCCUGCAGGCUGCAUCCCACUUGGUUCGAUGCAUGUAUCGAGAAUAUAGUGUGCUAUCAAUAAGUCAAUUCAAUAUGUUUGCUUGGAUUAGGCAAAGCAACAGCCUUGUUACAUUUCAGCGCUGCUGGGAAUUGAAUUGAUCCUGUUCAGCUUCUUCAAUGGGAACAAAAAUGAAAGGGAUUUACAAAGGAUUCAAAUAUACUUCGUCUCAAAUGCUUGGAGGAUCGUGAAAUAGAGAUAGGAUACCCUUCAGAUGUUAAGCAUGUUGCACACAUUGGGUGGGAUGGCCCUUCUGGUAGUGCACCUAGUUGGAUGAAUGAAUUCAAUUCAGGGCCGGAUUUUGCGGCAAUUUUAAAUGGUAAUACUGGCUCUGUACAUUCUCCGUGGUCAUCUCAACAACAGAUUUUUUACAAUCCUUGCGGCAGCAAUCAGCUACUGACAAUUAUAAGGGCAUAAUCCCUGCAGAAUUUCCCCGUACUCAGAAGAAGCAGAAACGGAAGAAAUCUAAAUCAACGUCCUCUUCAAAGUCUGGUUCUUCCUCAUUAAGAUCAUCACGCCUAGCAAAAUCUAAAUCUAAAUUCAUUGAAGGCAAUGCAAAAUUAACAGAUAUUGCAGUGGCCUAGUAUAGCAAAUCCCCCUUCAUGCUUGACAAAAGUUUUGCAAUUAAGGCGAAAAUCAGGAGAAGAUGAGAUCUAAAGAGGAAAACGUAUUUUUGAUGUUCAAAAAUGGCUCAUUUUGAGAAAUCUGACUUCAUUUUUCUUCUUUUCUUUGUUCCAUCUUCUUUUGGAAAGAACCAACAUUUUUUAGUCAUGCUGAUGAGAAUUGUGCUGUUGCAAAAUUAUUGGAUUUGAACAUAUAUUAAGUUAAUUUAUGUUGUUCUUGUAGUCCUGCCGGUGUUUAU
This is a long non-coding RNA of Olea europaea var. sylvestris, 2254 nucleotides long. RefSeq lists it as uncharacterized. The transcript is spliced from 4 exons. The record is from RefSeq and is a predicted model, not a curated record. NCBI's taxonomy places the organism in Eukaryota, Viridiplantae, Streptophyta, Magnoliopsida, Lamiales, Oleaceae.